GCCGAAAUAGCUCAGUUGGGAGAGUCUUAGACUAAAGAUCUAAAGGUCCCUGGUUCGAACCCGGGUUUCAGCA
This 73-nucleotide transfer RNA is filed under the name Cordylochernes scorpioides. RNAcentral describes it as "tRNA-Phe". It matches the Rfam family "tRNA". From Rfam's summary of the family: Transfer RNA (tRNA) molecules are approximately 80 nucleotides in length. Their secondary structure includes four short double-helical elements and three loops (D, anti-codon, and T loops). Further hydrogen bonds mediate the characteristic L-shaped molecular structure. tRNAs have two regions of fundamental functional importance: the anti-codon, which is responsible for specific mRNA codon recognition, and the 3' end, to which the tRNAs corresponding amino acid is attached (by aminoacyl-tRNA synthetases). tRNAs cope with the degeneracy of the genetic code in two manners: having more than one tRNA (with a specific anti-codon) for a particular amino acid; and 'wobble' base-pairing, i.e. permitting non-standard base-pairing at the 3rd anti-codon position. Lineage: Eukaryota; Metazoa; Arthropoda; Arachnida; Pseudoscorpiones; Chernetidae. The record is from RNAcentral.